Molecule: ribosomal RNA, 755 nt
Filed under: uncultured Bacteroidales bacterium
Lineage: Bacteria; Pseudomonadati; Bacteroidota; Bacteroidia; Bacteroidales
Description: bacterial SSU rRNA
Rfam family: Bacterial small subunit ribosomal RNA
Source: RNAcentral
GAUGAACGCUAGCUACAGGCUUAACACAUGCAAGUCGAGGGGCAGCAUUUUAGUUUGCUUGCAAACUGAAGAUGGCGACCGGCGCACGGGUGAGUAACACGUAUCCAACCUGCCGAUAACUCCGGAAUAGCCUUUCGAAAGAAAGAUUAAUACCGGAUAGCAUACGAAUAUCGCAUGAUAUUUUUAUUAAAGAAUUUCGGUUAUCGAUGGGGAUGCGUUCCAUUAGUUUGUUGGCGGGGUAACGGCCCACCAAGACUACGAUGGAUAGGGGUUCUGAGAGGAAGGUCCCCCACAUUGGAACUGAGACACGGUCCAAACUCCUACGGGAGGCAGCAGUGAGGAAUAUUGGUCAAUGGGCGAGAGCCUGAACCAGCCAAGUAGCGUGAAGGAUGAAGGCUCUAUGGGUCGUAAACUUCUUUUAUAUGGGAAUAAAGUUUUCCACGUGUGGAAUUUUGUAUGUACCAUAUGAAUAAGGAUCGGCUAACUCCGUGCCAGCAGCCGCGGUAAUACGGAGGAUCCGAGCGUUAUCCGGAUUUAUUGGGUUUAAAGGGAGCGUAGGUGGAUUGUUAAGUCAGUUGUGAAAGUUUGCGGCUCAACCGUAAAAUUGCAGUUGAAACUGGCAGUCUUGAGUACAGUAGAGGUGGGCGGAAUUCGUGGUGUAGCGGUGAAAUGCUUAGAUAUCACGAAGAACUCCGAUUGCGAAGGCAGCUCACUAGACUGUCACUGACACUGAUGCUCGAAAGUGUGGGUAUCAA